This 490-nucleotide ribosomal RNA is filed under the name Bacillus zhangzhouensis. RNAcentral's name for it is "bacterial SSU rRNA". It matches the Rfam family "Bacterial small subunit ribosomal RNA", at positions 77 to 552 of the family's 1533-position model. The record is from RNAcentral. Lineage: Bacteria; Bacillati; Bacillota; Bacilli; Caryophanales; Bacillaceae.
AGCUUGCUCCCGGAUGUUAGCGGCGGACGGGUGAGUAACACGUGGGUAACCUGCCUGUAAGACUGGGAUAACUCCGGGAAACCGGAGCUAAUACCGGAUAGUUCCUUGAACCGCAUGGUUCAAGGAUGAAAGACGGUUUCGGCUGUCACUUACAGAUGGACCCGCGGCGCAUUAGCUAGUUGGUGGGGUAAUGGCUCACCAAGGCGACGAUGCGUAGCCGACCUGAGAGGGUGAUCGGCCACACUGGGACUGAGACACGGCCCAGACUCCUACGGGAGGCAGCAGUAGGGAAUCUUCCGCAAUGGACGAAAGUCUGACGGAUCAACGCCCCGUGAGUGAUGAAGGUUUUCGGAUCGUAAGGCUCUGUUGUUAGGGAAGAAUAAGUGCGAGAGUAACUGCUCGCACCUUGACGGUACCUAGCCAGAAAGCCACGGCUAACUACGUGGCAACAGCCGCGGUAAUACGUAGGUGGCAAGCGUUGUCCAGAAGU